RNAcentral lists this transfer RNA (72 nucleotides) under Camelus bactrianus (Bactrian camel). It matches the Rfam family "tRNA". From Rfam's summary of the family: Transfer RNA (tRNA) molecules are approximately 80 nucleotides in length. Their secondary structure includes four short double-helical elements and three loops (D, anti-codon, and T loops). The record is from Rfam by way of RNAcentral. RNAcentral also lists the same sequence under 2 other names. Lineage: Eukaryota; Metazoa; Chordata; Mammalia; Artiodactyla; Camelidae.
GAUGGUAUAGCUCAGUGGUAGAGCACGUGCCUAGCAUGCAUGAGGUUCUGGGUUUAAUCCCAAGUACCUCCA